GCCGGGUUAGCUCAGUUGGUUAGAACAUGGUGCUAAUAACACCAAGUUCACAGGUUCAAUCCCUGCUCACUGCA
Pelecanus crispus (Dalmatian pelican) is the source of this 74-nucleotide non-coding RNA. NCBI's taxonomy places the organism in Eukaryota, Metazoa, Chordata, Aves, Pelecaniformes, Pelecanidae. The record is from Rfam.